Molecule: transfer RNA, 57 nt
Filed under: Ovis aries (sheep)
Lineage: Eukaryota; Metazoa; Chordata; Mammalia; Artiodactyla; Bovidae
Rfam family: tRNA
About the family: Transfer RNA (tRNA) molecules are approximately 80 nucleotides in length. Their secondary structure includes four short double-helical elements and three loops (D, anti-codon, and T loops).
Source: Rfam by way of RNAcentral
UGGCUCAGAUGGUAAAGCAUCUGCCUGCAAUGUAGGAGACCCAGGUUCAAUCCCUGG